GGGGAUAGCUCAGUGGGAGAGCAUGUGCUUAGCAUGCAUGAGGUCCUGGGUUCAAUCCCCAGCACCUCCA
Molecule: transfer RNA, 70 nt
Organism: Camelus ferus (Wild Bactrian camel)
Lineage: Eukaryota; Metazoa; Chordata; Mammalia; Artiodactyla; Camelidae
Rfam family: tRNA
About the family: Transfer RNA (tRNA) molecules are approximately 80 nucleotides in length. Their secondary structure includes four short double-helical elements and three loops (D, anti-codon, and T loops).
Source: Rfam